RNAcentral lists this unclassified non-coding RNA (454 nucleotides) under Hevea brasiliensis (rubber tree). Lineage: Eukaryota; Viridiplantae; Streptophyta; Magnoliopsida; Malpighiales; Euphorbiaceae. The record is from RNAcentral.
UUUUGCCUGCAGGUACAUAUAUUUCUAAUCAGGAGUUGUUGUAACUUCGACAUUUUUUAAAUUUUGGGGACUAUAAUUUCAUAAAGUAAAAACAUAAAACAAAAUAAUUCUACUGCCUACAAUUUUAUAGGAAUGAAAUGCAUUUGAAAUUUGUGGUUGUCAAAAGGGAGUGUUGUAUUACUGAUUUUAUUCUCAUGAUGCCCUGGGCUUUAACUAUACCGUACAGGAAUUUUGUGUCCAAAAUAUUACCAAUGAAAAGAAAAAAAAUAUAAUAUUCAAAGUCAUAUUUAUUUAUUUAUUUUAUGUUUUAGACAAUUACAAAAAAAGAUUUAUAUUUCUGGUUGAUAUCUAUAUACUGUAUAAAGUACUUGGUAGGCUAAAUACAUGCAUGAGAAAGAUAUGUUUAAGAAUAAUUGAUAGUUGUGACAUGAUUGGAUGGAAGUGUAGCAUUUUG